UUUUGCUUUUCAUCACCUGCAAGAUUUACAUAAAAAUCACAUAAGCUGGAAUUCAACAAAAGACCUCUGACUAUGUGAAGAUACGGUGGGAAGAUGACUGUCCACAAGACAGGAAGAGAGCCCUCACCGAGGAACCAAAUUGGCCAGUAUCUUGAUCUUGGAUUUCUCAGCCUCAAGAACCAUGAGAAAUGAAUGUCUGUUGUUCAAGCCACCCAGUCUAUGAAAAAGUUUGGAAACCUUCAUCUAGAAAGUGGUCUAGCAAAGUGUGGUCCAUGGAUGAGUUUGAUCUGCAAACUGCUUGUUAUUGGUUCAUGACAAGGUCCACCAAUUGCAUUUUGAGAGCUCAGAUAAGCAGAGAGCAAUGCAAUUUGUCACGGAAGGAUGAUUAUGUAUAUGCACUGUCAUGUGUAUGUAUGUGUAUGUAUAUACGCUAUUUCCACGCCUAACUCAAAAGAGACACAGGGAGAAAGUGAGCUCAGCCUGGAUAAAUUGGAAGUUGUGAUGACUUCUAGGAAGCCUCAGGAAAAAGAAACAAAGACAACACUGGCCUGCUGCUCUCUGCAAUGGUGGGACUCUUGUGGGACAACUGUUUUAGGAAUGAAGGUGUCUACCCUCUCUAGAAAUGAAAAUGCAAGUUUGGCUGUGGUUAAGUAUUGGAUGGAGGCAAAAAGAAACUGACAUAUUUGCUUCUUUUCAAUUGUUUGAUUCACCCUGAAGGGCAUGGCUGCCUAAUUUUUUUCUCCAGAGAUAGGUGGACAGAUAAAGACAGGAAAGUAACAUCCACAGACUGCCCUCUGUGAAGGUGACAGUGAUGAGAGGAAUGCUUGAUCUGAACAUUGGUAAAUAAAGUGACCGCGUAUUUCCCUAGCCAGGAGAGCAAUCUGGCUCAAAAGAAACGAGAACAAUGACAUUACUGCCAGGCUGCUCCUAAGCCUUUGGCUAUUCUGUUCAGUGCACAUAAAAAGCAGUGAACAUAGCUGUGACCUCCCUUGUUGGCAGUAUCACAAUUCUUUGGGGCUCCACUUUGAGAAAUUGAGACCUACCUACCUUAACCCUUGGGGGGUUAAGCUUUCAGACUGGAAUGAUAACUGAACUAUUCAUUUGCAGUAAUUCUGGGUUUUGUGCAUAUCUUAAAAAGGAAUACCGGGCUUGCCUAUAUUCAUUACAACAUCCUCCCAGCUUUCAAAUCUUCCAAUACAAUGCCUUUUCUCUAGUCUUUUAAGCACAUCCUGUGACUGGAUAUGAUUAUGGGAGAUUUACAUGCAUCCUUGUCUAUUGUAUCAAAAGAUCAGGGAAUAAAAUGCCCAUCAUUAAAACCCCAAAGUGAUUGGAUUGGCAUGAGGAAUGGG
Molecule: long non-coding RNA, 1349 nt
Filed under: Pan troglodytes (chimpanzee)
Lineage: Eukaryota; Metazoa; Chordata; Mammalia; Primates; Hominidae
Description: lincRNA
Source: RNAcentral